This 71-nucleotide transfer RNA is filed under the name Loxodonta africana (African savanna elephant). It matches the Rfam family "tRNA". Rfam says of the family: Transfer RNA (tRNA) molecules are approximately 80 nucleotides in length. Their secondary structure includes four short double-helical elements and three loops (D, anti-codon, and T loops). Lineage: Eukaryota; Metazoa; Chordata; Mammalia; Proboscidea; Elephantidae. The record is from Rfam by way of RNAcentral.
GCAGUGGUGGUCCAGGGGUAGAAUUCUUGCCUUCAAUGCAGGAGACCCAGGCUCGAUUCCUGGCCAGUGCA